Agrilus planipennis (emerald ash borer) is the source of this 1188-nucleotide long non-coding RNA. RefSeq lists it as uncharacterized. The transcript is spliced from 2 exons. The record is from RefSeq and is a predicted model, not a curated record. Lineage: Eukaryota; Metazoa; Arthropoda; Insecta; Coleoptera; Buprestidae.
UCUUGAUUUCCCUUUCUUCUAUCUUCUUUUCCAUUUCAUGUCUAAUAUCAUUUAUAUUUUCUGUCAUUUUUUCUUGUCCUUUUUUAAUUUUUUUUGUCAUUUCUGCCAUCAUUGUCAUUAAUGCCUUUAUUUGUUCCUCCAUUUUUGCUUCAGUACAUCUGAUUAUAACAGGCACGAAAUAUCCCAAUUUCUUCCAGAAUACUUUAUGAAAUUCUUCGAUUCUGGCAAAAAUCGUUUUUUUUUUCUUCGCGAACUCCAAUAAUGUAUGAUUUUUUUCUAGGGUUAUUCGCGAUCUGUGGAAAGUUCCAGAAAAUUCAUUGAAAUUUUUCGAUAACGUCGAAUUCGUUCUUCUCUCUUCGGGAGCUUUCCAACGAUGCAUGGUUUGUUGAGGUAAGUCACGAUUGGUAGAAACUUCUAGAAACUUCGAUAGAAGUUUGCAAUAACGUUGGAUCUGUUCUUCUUUCUUCAAGAGCUUCUUUAACGAUGUAUGACUCGGUGAAAUUCUUCAAUGACGUCAGUUUCUUUCUUUUCUCUUCGAGAGCUUUCCAAUAACUUAUCACUUGCUAAGGUUUCUUGCAGGGGAUGGAAACUUGACUGAUGGAACGCUCUGGAAUAUUCGAUGGGAUUCUUCAAAAAUCCUCCGCCUUCUAAAUUCUCUUCAGUUUUCUUUUAUCCCACUUCUGACACCAAACGUCAGGAAAUCAAACAUCUUGCACUAUUACUACUUUUAUUUAUUUGCUUUCUAAGUAACACUUCUAUUAACAAUUAAUCACUAUUUCACCACUAUUUUGCACACUUUGUCGCUUCUUUGCUCUUUCUACUUCUCUUUGUAUCGCCAUGUAACUCCAACUCAAGAUCUCAAGGAAACUAUUUAUAGAGGCUGACCAUAUUUUAGAAUGAUCUAGAAUACCACAAUAUUUCUUUCAGGUUCCUUUUGUCCCUUUGCAUGGUCACGUCAACUUAAUGUCUUUACCUAUGUUGUCGCCGUUCAACCCUGUAUAAUUUGAACUUAAAUGACUAUUUGCCAAACCCACAUAGGUGUAAAACCAAUCACAAAUAGAUCGGAUUCAGCAGUCUUCAGAUUCAUCGUAUUCAAGCGCUUUUACCUAUCAUAAUCUACGCUUUUUAUUGGGGUAUGUAUUGGUCAAUUAGUGUUAAGCGUUAAUUACUAAAUAUCUCAAAUCACAG